RNAcentral lists this ribosomal RNA (244 nucleotides) under uncultured bacterium. RNAcentral's name for it is "partial small subunit ribosomal RNA". It matches the Rfam family "Bacterial small subunit ribosomal RNA", at positions 26 to 285 of the family's 1533-position model. The record is from RNAcentral.
AGAAUCAACGCUGGCGGCGUGCCUAACACAUGCAAGUCGCACGAGAAAGUGGAGCAAUCCAUGAGUAAAGUGGCGCACGGGUGAGUAACACGUGAAUUAUCUACCUCCGAGUGGGGAAUAACUGAGAGAAAUCUUAGCUAAUACCGCAUAACACUUACGAGUCAAAGCAGCAAUGCGCUUGGAGAGGAGUUCGCGGCCGAUUAGUUAGUUGGCGGGUAACGGCCCACCAAGACGAUGAUCGGUA